AGAGGAAGUAAAAGUCGUAACAAGGUUUCCGUAGGUGAACCUGCGGAAGGAUCAUUACCGAGUGAGGGCCCUUUGGGUCCAACCUCCCACCCGUGUUUAUUUUACCUUGUUGCUUCGGCGGGCCCGCCUUUACUGGCCGCCGGGGGGCUCACGCCCCCGGGCCCGCGCCCGCCGAAGACACCCCCGAACUCUGUCUGAAGAUUGAAGUCUGAGUGAAAAUAUAAAUUAUUUAAAACUUUCAACAACGGAUCUCUUGGUUCCGGCAUCGAUGAAGAACGCAGCGAAAUGCGAUACGUAAUGUGAAUUGCAAAUUCAGUGAAUCAUCGAGUCUUUGAACGCACAUUGCGCCCCCUGGUAUUCCGGGGGGCAUGCCUGUCCGAGCGUCAUUGCUGCCCUCAAGCCCGGCUUGUGUGUUGGGCCCCGUCCUCCGAUUCCGGGGGACGGGCCCGAAAGGCAGCGGCGGCACCGCGUCCGGUCCUCGAGCGUAUGGGGCUUUGUCACCCGCUCUGUAGGCCCGGCCGGCGCUUGCCGAUCAACCCAAAUUUUUAUCCAGGUUGACCUCGGAUCAGGUAGGGAUACCCGCUGAACUUAAGCAUAUCAAUA
This 603-nucleotide ribosomal RNA is filed under the name fungal sp. APA-2013. RNAcentral's name for it is "eukaryotic LSU rRNA". The stretch from base 234 to 386 matches the Rfam family "5.8S ribosomal RNA". The record is from RNAcentral. Lineage: Eukaryota; Fungi.